This is a long non-coding RNA of Salvia miltiorrhiza (redroot sage), 2570 nucleotides long. RefSeq lists it as uncharacterized. NCBI's taxonomy places the organism in Eukaryota, Viridiplantae, Streptophyta, Magnoliopsida, Lamiales, Lamiaceae. The transcript is spliced from 5 exons. The record is from RefSeq and is a predicted model, not a curated record.
UGGGAAACCAAGUAUCGAAACAGUGCAGAAGUAUAUCAGCCUGAACUAUUCAUUCUUCUCCAUCUCCUAAGUAAAAUAGAAACCCUAAUUCAGAUCAUCGGAUAUCGCUCGCCUCUGCCGCUCCAUCUCCUCCGGCGUCGACGACUUCUCAUCGCUCCCCUCCGCCGCCGUACGCCGAAGCCCUGAAUUCUGUCUCCGCCACCCCCCCUCCGCGAUGCUCGACCUCUUCAUCCUCGUCAUCGUUCUCUUCUCCGGAGCCUUCCUCAUCAACUCCUGUUGCUCCUACAUUUUUCAGUUCCUCUCUCUCCUUCUUCCCCCUUUAUCCUCCGUCGCCUCCGACCCCAAUAUAUCUCGCCCUAUUGGCCGCUUCCUUCCUCGCCUUCGUCAGCUUCUUCGAGAUCUGUUGUGGCAGCCACUCACGGCGGUGCGGCCGUGCCGGAUGCAGGGGAUUGAAGCGGGGCGGCGGCUACGACAAACCAUGCCUCCUCGCGAAGCUUCGAAAUAUGGCGCCGCCUAAUGGCAACACCGUGCUGCUCUCCUGCCUCCGGUGCGGCUGCCCUAUCUCGGAAGGUUUUUGCUCAUUAGUUUUUUCCUGAUUUAAGCUUUGUUGUUGGAAUUUGCUUGAUUAGGCUUUGAGUCAAUGUUGUUAUGUAGAUCAUGGAUCAUUGCUAGAGUGCUGCUAGUUGAAUUUCUUUGGUAGAUUCAGACAAUUCUUUGCUGAUAAAUUAGUUUAUUCCAUGAACAAGACAAUGAAGUGGAAAACAAAACUGAGACUUGACUGUGUUUGUGUUUGUGUUUGUGUUUCUUUGCAUUUUCUUUUCCAAUUUUCUAGCAAGUUCUUGGUCGAUGGGUUUGGAAUUACUUCUCUAGCAGCAUUGCUAAUAGAUCAGGCAACCACUGUGUUGUUCUUAAUGAGAAAUCGUAAGUAAAUUCUGUCUUUAACAUAAAAGUCCCGGGGGACUUUAGGUACUUUUAUUAUGAUGAUUUUUUAAUUUGAAUGUGUAGGACAAUCUUAACUUAGGCUGAGAAAUAUAUAAUUUAGCAGUGGUGAAAUUUUUGGAGUGGGAAGAAAGCACUUCUCUACAGUUGUCUUGGCAGGUGUUGUUUAUCGAUGGAGUUUCCGAAUCAGGAAUCAGAGUCGUCAAAUUCGAUGAGGAAUCAGGUGUUGUUUAUUACUUUGUCUUUAUAUAUGAGAAUUACGUUGUUUGAUGUAUGAUAUUCUCCCCCUUAUUUUAGGAGUAUGUAAAGAACUCCAGAGGUGUGCAGCUGUUCACUUGCAAAUGGCUGCCUUUGUCUUCUCCAAAAGCUCUGGUUUUUCUCUGCCAUGUUGCAGGUUAUGGCAUGGAGUGCAGUAAUUUCAUGAAAGGUAGUAUCAUUUUCCUCAUAUUUUAGUCACAUUAUUUUUCUUAUUUUACUAUUCUCAAUUUCGAGUCCACCAUCAAUCAAUGUCUAAAAAUUUAUGUAUCCUCAACCCAAAAAAUAAAAAGAAAAAAAUUAAUUUUGUAGAUGAUUUCAUUAAUUCAUUCCAAUUUCCAACCAACAACAAAGUGAAAGCCUAUCCUGCAUUAAUAAUCACUUGUACUUUUCAUUAGUAUUAUUUUCUUUAUUUUCCCUUAAUUGGAUGGUUUCUUGCUUAUAACUAUUACCUAAGUGCAUUAGAAGAAAACCUGAAAUUAUGGCAUGUAAAAAGAGUUUGAAAAUGGAGUUUGGUGGUUUACUUUGGUAGUUUGGUUGAUUAGGUUAGCAAGCAGUUAUCUGUAAGCAUCAGAUGUCACUUAUUCACAUCUUGAAUUCAAUCAUACAUAAAAAAAAUUGGUUUCUUUGAAUUAUUAUCCAAGUAAAAUGGACUAGAUUGUGCAGUAUUCUGUGAGAGAGAUAAAUCAUUAUCCGAAAAACACUCUGCUUUUUUAUUAUUAUAUUUUUUGUUGCAGUUUUUUUUUAGUAUCAAAAAAGCGUUCUAGGAGGCUGCCCUCUUGAAGGGAGCUUAGGCACUGGGAGGCCGCCCUCUUCUGCGUCUGUUCCUGAAAUUGGAGGAGCUAUGAGCACCUUUGCAGACUAUGGAUUGACAGAAGUUGAUGCAGAGAUUCGCAGCAUUAUUGACAAAGAGAAGAAUCGUUAGUUUAGAAGCUUGGAGCUUAUUGCUUCAGAGAAUUUCACCUCUCGAGCUGUGAUGGAAGCAGUUGGUUCUUGCCUCACUAACAAGUACUCCGAGGGAUUACCUGGCAAAAGGUAUGUUAGAACUCAGAAGGGAAGUUCAAAGAUUGGGCAACUUCUGUGAGAGAGAUAAAUGAGGUUUGAGAAGAUUGGGCAACUUCUACCAUUAAUGAGCUUGACACGUGACAUGGAGAAGUUCUUGCGCGCUGAUACGACGUUUUGAAAGUUUUUUGCAACUAUUAUGAUUUGUGAGUGUGGUAUGUAGGAUUUUCACUUGAAAAAUACUAUUAUGGUGGAUUUUUAAAUCUUUUUUAGAUGUUCAUUAUGUUGUUGGGAGAUGUUGUAGAACAUUGGUUCUUAUUUUGUGGAUGUUGGAUGAAUAGUGGUUAUCAAUGUUUAAUUGGUCAUUUUCAGUA